This 253-nucleotide ribosomal RNA is filed under the name uncultured bacterium. RNAcentral's name for it is "partial 16S ribosomal RNA". It matches the Rfam family "Bacterial small subunit ribosomal RNA", at positions 335 to 586 of the family's 1533-position model. The record is from RNAcentral.
GUCCUACGGGACGCAGCAGUGAGGAAUAUUGGUCAAUGGCCGGAAGGCUGAACCAGCCAAGCCGCGUGAGGGAGGAAGGCGCAGAGCGUCGCAGACCUCUUUUGCCGGGGGACAAAAGGCCGGACUCGUCCGGUCCUGAGGGUACCCGGAGAAAAAGCAUCGGCUAACUCCGUGCCAGCAGCCGCGGUAAUACGUAGGUGGCAAGCGUUGUCCGGAUUUAUUGGGCGCAAAGCGAGUGCAGGCGGUUCAAUAA